GGAACUUCAUCAAAGUCAGGACGCGGAGCAGCUUCCCCAGCUGGACCAUGCCGCUCCGGAUGCUGCUGCGGUAGCGGAGGCGGCGCUGGAGGGGAUGCUGGUGGGCUCUCCCAGGUCCCGGCUUCUCGAGAAAAAAUGGAAGUCUGCAACAGCCUUACCUUAAGUACUUGAUCAACUUCAUGAAAGUGUAGAUUGAUUCUUCUGGAGUUAAAACCUCACUUUUGGACCAAUAACUUACCAAGAGGCCAGAGAAGAAUUGGAUGUUCUCCAGCCCUGGAACUGGAGUCAUGGAUGUCUGUGAGCCACCACGCUGGUGCUGGGAGACUGAACAACCAACCAACCAACCAACCAACCAACCAACCAACCAACCAACCAACCAACCAACCAACAGCAAAAACAACAACAAAACCAUCUAGUUUUCAGCAAGUGCAUAAAGUGCUCUUAACCACUGAGCCAUAUCUCCUGCCUCAAUUUCAUCUGUUUUGUUUUGUUUUUCUAUGAUUUCUCUUUCCAUCAUACUUUGUGGAAAAACACUUUCUACUUUUAAUUUUUGUCUGUUUGCAUAUGUGUGUGGGUGUUUGUGGGCCAGAAGAGGGCAUAGUUAUCUCAUGUAGCUGCCACUGCAAGCAAUCUUGAGCAUCUCAGAAUGGGUGCUAGGACCCACACCUCCUCGGGAUCAGCAAUAGCUCUUAGCUGAUUAGCCAAACCCCAAUAUCUUCUAUGGAUACAUUUAAAUCUAAUUUUUUUCUAUAUGUGAGCAUAUUUAUGUAUAGGUAAGGCCUAGAAGAAGUUGUCAGCUCUGGAACAGGAUUUACAGAUGAUGGUAAGGUACCUAAUGUGACUGCUGGAAUCUGCACUCGGGUCUUCAAGAGCAGCAAGUGCUAUUAGCUGUUGAUGCAUCUCUCCUCCCCUUAAUAGCAUUUCUUAAGCUAAAACAUUCUAAAUAGCAUUCCUUUCUUCAUACCUAUAUCCAGCCACAUGUUUUCAAUUGUUUUUUUUGUUUGUUUUCUUGUUUGUGUGUUUGUUUUUGACAUAGCAUCUCACGAAUCCAUUUUUCCAAAAAAUAAGAUUGAUCUUCUUCUCUUUUUACCUCCUAAUCAUGGGGAGUACAAACAUGGAUUCAUCACGGUCAUAUUCAGUGCUGGGAAUUGACCUUCAUACUUCUCCUAUGUUCACAGUCAUCUGCAACUUUAGUUCAUGGAUUACGAUUAUCUUUCCUGAAAUUUCUUAGAACCAGACACAUGAUGCACAUACUCAUGCACAGGCUGAAUUCUAGUAUACAUAAAAUAAAAUAAAUAAAAAUUCACCUAGUGAAUUCUAUCUCCAGCCCACUAUUGUUAAAAUGGACAUUCACACUUAUCUUACAUUAUUAAACAUGGUCACUUUUCCCUGGAGAAAAAGACACUAUUACAUUUUGUGUUCUACUUUUCCGAGAUUCUUAUUUUGGUAGAUUUAUUUAUGUCAUAUAACUAUCAUCUAUUCCUCGUAUUUCUUUUUUUAUUGUUAAAAUAUCUGGUAUUGCACAGAAUUAUAUAGUAAAGGCCUCUGCAGGCUAGGUCAAAAGUG
RNAcentral lists this long non-coding RNA (1566 nucleotides) under Mus pahari (shrew mouse). Its description in RNAcentral is "lncRNA (MGP_PahariEiJ_G0002984.1)". Lineage: Eukaryota; Metazoa; Chordata; Mammalia; Rodentia; Muridae. The record is from RNAcentral.